CACGUAGGGCGCAAGCGUUGUCCGGAAUUAUUGGGCGUAAAGAGCUUGUAGGCGGUUUGUCGCGUCUGCUGUGAAAUUUCGGGGCUCAACCCCGAGCUUGCAGUGGGUACGGGCAGACUAGAGUGUGGUAGGGGAGACUGGAAUUCCUGGUGUAGCGGUGAAAUGCGCAGAUAUCAGGAGGAACACCGAUGGCGAAGGCAGGUCUCUGGGCCACUACUGACGCUGAGAAGCGAAAGCAUGGGGAGCGAACAGG
Molecule: ribosomal RNA, 253 nt
Filed under: uncultured bacterium
Lineage: Bacteria
Description: partial 16S ribosomal RNA
Rfam family: Bacterial small subunit ribosomal RNA
Source: RNAcentral